Non-coding RNA from Schistosoma mansoni, 48 nucleotides. NCBI's taxonomy places the organism in Eukaryota, Metazoa, Platyhelminthes, Trematoda, Strigeidida, Schistosomatidae. The record is from Rfam.
GUCCAGCCGACGAGUCCCAAAUAGGACGAAAUGCGCGUCAAACAGGAU